This 423-nucleotide ribosomal RNA is filed under the name uncultured bacterium. RNAcentral's name for it is "bacterial SSU rRNA". It matches the Rfam family "Bacterial small subunit ribosomal RNA", at positions 207 to 622 of the family's 1533-position model. The record is from RNAcentral.
CAAGACCUGCGCUUUUGGAGCGGCCGAUGCCUGAUUAGCUUGUUGGUAAGGUAAAAGCUUACCAAGGCUUCGAUCAGUAGCUGGUCUGAGAGGACGACCAGCCACACUGGGACUGAGACACGGCCCAGACUCCUACGGGAGGCAGCAGUGGGGAAUUUUGGACAAUGGGCGCAAGCCUGAUCCAGCCAUGCCGCGUGAGUGAAGAAGGCCUUCGGGUUGUAAAGCUCUUUCAGCCGGGAAGAAAAGGUUGCGAUUAAUAAUCGCAAUUUAUGACGGUACCGGAAGAAGAAGCACCGGCUAACUACGUGCCAGCAGCCGCGGUAAUACGUAGGGUGCGAGCGUUAAUCGGAAUUACUGGGCGUAAAGGGUGCGCAGGCGGUUUUGUAAGUCAGAUGUGAAAUCCCCGGGCUUAACCUGGGAACU